Molecule: ribosomal RNA, 551 nt
Filed under: uncultured bacterium
Lineage: Bacteria
Description: bacterial SSU rRNA
Rfam family: Bacterial small subunit ribosomal RNA
Source: RNAcentral
CCUACGGGAGGCAGCAGUGGGGAAUUUUCCGCAAUGGGCGAAAGCCUGACGGAGCAACGCCGCGUGAGGGACGAAGGCCUCUGGGCUGUAAACCUCUUUUCUCAAGGAAGAAGAUAUGACGGUACUUGAGGAAUAAGCCACGGCUAAUUCCGUGCCAGCAGCCGCGGUAAUACGGGAGUGGCAAGCGUUAUCCGGAAUUAUUGGGCGUAAAGCGUCCGCAGGCGGCUUUUCAAGUCUGCUGUUAAAGCGUGGAGCUUAACUCCAUCAUGGCAGUGGAAACUGAAAGGCUUGAGUAUGGUAGGGGCAGAGGGAAUUCCCGGUGUAGCGGUGAAAUGCGUAGAUAUCGGGAAGAACACCAGUGGCGAAGGCGCUCUGCUGGGCCAUUACUGACGCUCAUGGACGAAAGCCAGGGGAGCGAAAGGGAUUAGAUACCCCUGUAGUCCUGGCCGUAAACGAUGAACACUAGGUGUCGGGGGAAUCGACCCCUUCGGUGUCGUAGCUAACGCGUUAAGUGUUCCGCCUGGGGAGUACGCACGCAAGUGUGAAACUCA